This 618-nucleotide ribosomal RNA is filed under the name Triticum aestivum (bread wheat). RNAcentral's name for it is "partial small subunit ribosomal RNA". Lineage: Eukaryota; Viridiplantae; Streptophyta; Magnoliopsida; Poales; Poaceae. The record is from RNAcentral.
AUGACGAUGGCGAGGACGGCGAAGGAGAAGCAAGCCGGCGGAGCUGAAACAAGGGAAGUGCUCCUCGGCAGGUCACCUGAGAUUCCCAGCAAGAUGGUGCAUGAUUGGGAAAAAAUAGUCCUGGACUUCGGCAGCAGCGACGAAUCAACAAUUCAUCCAGGAAAUGACCUCCUCGUACAAGCCCUGCAGCAUUAUUUUGGUAACACGUAUUUGGUGCAGCCAGAACAUCACAUGGUUGGUUUCUGGGGAUCUAAGAUGAAGCAAGCUGCAGAAUUGAUACGCCCAGGUGAAAAGGGUCGAAAAUACAUAUUUCUCCUGAAUAACACAUGUGUUGUUCGUCAAAUGGUGCGGCGUCCAGGAACAACUUUCCCCAAUGUAGAACCCCUGCUCACUUCAAUGAUCAAGCGAUACACGAAGUGCUACUUGGACGAGUGUUGGGCUCCGCUCAAGUGUUUAAGCUCGGAGGAGUUUACCGCCGAAUUUCUUGCCGCCUGUAAUCGCCAGAUGAAGUGGAAGGUUGCAGCCGAGGUCAGGUACAAACUGCGGCAGGAGAUUGCGGAAUUGAUCGUUCCACCGUGUGACGGAAGCCAUGUGAUAGAAGGGUUAUUUGAAGGAUGA